UACGUAGGGUGCGAGCGUUAAUCGGAAUUACUGGGCGUAAAGCGUGUGCAGGCGGUUCGUUGUGUCGGCGGUGAAAGCCCGGGCUCAACCUGGGAAUGGCCGUUGAAACUGGCGAACUGGAGUGUGGCAGAGGGGGUGGAAUUCCGCGUGUAGCAGUGAAAUGCGUAGAGAUGCGGAGGAACACCGAUGGCGAAGGCAGCCCCCUGGGCUGACACUGACGCUCAGGCACGAAAGCGUGGGGAGCAAACAGG
This 251-nucleotide ribosomal RNA is filed under the name uncultured bacterium. RNAcentral's name for it is "partial 16S ribosomal RNA". It matches the Rfam family "Bacterial small subunit ribosomal RNA", at positions 524 to 776 of the family's 1533-position model. The record is from RNAcentral.